AUUGAACGCUGGCGGCAGGCCUAACACAUGCAAGUCGAGCGGAGCGGCGGACGGGUGAGUAAUGACUAGGCAUCGGCCUGGUGGUGGGGGAUAACGGCCGGAAACGGGCGCUAAUACCGCAUGCUAUCAGGUGAGCCUAGGUCGGAUUAGUUGGUUGGUGGGUUAAAGGCCUACCAAGGGGACGAUCCGGAACUGGUCUGAGAGGAUGAUCAGUCACACUGGAACUGAGACACGGUCCAGACUCCUACGGGAGGCAGCAGUGGGGAAUAUUGGACAAUGGGCGAAAGCCUGAUCCAGCCACGCCGCGGGUGUGAAGAAGGUCUUCGGAUUGUAAAGCACUUUAAGUUGGGAGGCGUUACCAACAGAAUAAGCACCGGCUAACUUCGUGCCAGCAGCCGCGGUAAUUC
This 407-nucleotide ribosomal RNA is filed under the name uncultured bacterium. RNAcentral describes it as "partial 16S ribosomal RNA". It matches the Rfam family "Bacterial small subunit ribosomal RNA", at positions 30 to 526 of the family's 1533-position model. The record is from RNAcentral.